Molecule: non-coding RNA, 164 nt
Filed under: Limosilactobacillus vaginalis
Lineage: Bacteria; Bacillati; Bacillota; Bacilli; Lactobacillales; Lactobacillaceae
Description: Lysine riboswitch
Rfam family: Lysine riboswitch aptamer
About the family: Riboswitches are metabolite binding domains within certain messenger RNAs that serve as precision sensors for their corresponding targets. Allosteric rearrangement of mRNA structure is mediated by ligand binding, and this results in modulation of gene expression.
Source: RNAcentral
AAUGAAGAGGUUGCAUUCUUUAUCAGUAUUGACUAUUAGGAAAAUAAGUUCCGGAGUAGUUUUGAAAGGAAAGAAUGCCGAAAUGCUGCUUAGCUUAUUCUGAGCUGCAUUGGGUCAUGAUUGAAAAAGUCAUGGACUGUCGCGAUAAAUCGCGGGGCGCUUCG